This 277-nucleotide ribosomal RNA is filed under the name uncultured bacterium. RNAcentral's name for it is "partial 16S ribosomal RNA". It matches the Rfam family "Bacterial small subunit ribosomal RNA", at positions 29 to 334 of the family's 1533-position model. The record is from RNAcentral.
AACGAACGCUGGCGGCAGGCUUAACACAUGCAAGUCGAACGCCCUCUUUGAGGGAGUGGCAGACGGGUGAGUAACGCGUGGGAAUCUACCUAGUGGUAAGGAACAACACAGAGAAAUUUGUGCUAAUACCUUAUACGCCCUCCGGGGGAAAGAUUUAUCGCCAUUAGAUGGGCCCGCGUUUGAUUAGCUAGUUGGUGGGGUAAUGGCUCACCAAGGCGACGAUCAAUAGCUGGUCUGAGAGGAUGAUCAGCCACACUGGGACUGAGACACGGCCCAG